AACAUCUAAGUACCCCGAGGAAAAGAAAUCAACCGAGAUUCCCCCAGUAGCGGCGAGCGAACGGGGAGGAGCCCAGAGCCUGAAUCAGCAUGUGUGUUAGUGGAAGCGUCUGGAAAGGCGCGCGAUACAGGGUGACAGCCCCGUACACAAAAGCGCAUGUGCUGUGAGCUCGAUGAGUAGGGCGGGACACGUGGUAUCCUGUCUGAAUAUGGGGGGACCAUCCUCCAAGGCUAAAUACUCCUGACUGACCGAUAGUGAACCAGUACCGUGAGGGAAAGGCGAAAAGAACCCCGGCGAGGGGAGUGAAAAAGAACCUGAAACCGUGUACGUACAAGCAGUGGGAGCCCCACCACCAAAGCAUUCUCUGGUGUUGAAGGCCCUGCAAAGCAGCAUCGCGGUGGCGGAGCGUCGUUUGCGACGCCCAACACACAAAACAAGCGGUGAGUGCUUUGGGGUGGGGUGACUGCGUACCUUUUGUAUAAUGGGUCAGCGACUUAUAUUCUGUAGCAAGGUUAACCGAAUAGGGGAGCCGGAGGGAAACCGAGUCUUAAUUGGGCGUUAAGUUGCAGGGUAUAGACCCGAAACCCGGUGAUCUAGCCAUGGGCAGGUUGAAGGUUGGGUAACACUAACUGGAGGACCGAACCGACUAAUGUUGAAAAAUUAGCGGAUGACCUGUGGCUGGGGGUGAAAGGCCAAUCAAACCGGGAGAUAGCUGGUUCUCCCCGAAAGCUAUUUAGGUAGCGCCUCGUGAAUUCAUCUCCGGGGGUAGAGCACUGUUUCGGCUAGGGGGCCAUCCCGGCUUACCAACCCGAUGCAAACUGCGAAUACCGGAGAAUGUUAUCACGGGAGACACACGGCGGGUGCUAACGUCCGUCGUGAAGAGGGAAACAACCCAGACCGCCAGCUAAGGUCCCAAAGUCAUGGUUAAGUGGGAAACGAUGUGGGAAGGCCCAGACAGCCAGGAUGUUGGCUUAGAAGCAGCCAUCAUUUAAAGAAAGCGUAAUAGCUCACUGGUCGAGUCGGCCUGCGCGGAAGAUGUAACGGGGCUAAACCAUGCACCGAAGCUGCGGCAGCGACGCUGAUGCGUUGUUGGGUAGGGGAGCGUUCUGUAAGCCUGUGAAGGUGGCCUGUGAGGGUUGCUGGAGGUAUCAGAAGUGCGAAUGCUGACAUAAGUAACGAUAAAGCGGGUGAAAAGCCCGCUCGCCGGAAGACCAAGGGUUCCUGUCCAACGUUAAUCGGGGCAGGGUGAGUCGACCCCUAAGGCGAGGCCGAAAGGCGUAGUCGAUGGGAAACGGGUUAAUAUUCCCGUACUUGGUGUUACUGCGAAGGGGGGACGGAGAAGGCUAUGUUGGCCGGGCGACGGUUGUCCCGGUUUAAGCGUGUAGGUGUGUGUUCCAGGUAAAUCCGGUUCACUUUAACACUGAGGCGUGAUGACGAGGCACUACGGUGCUGAAGCAACAAAUGCCCUGCUUCCAGGAAAAGCCUCUAAGCAUCAGGUAACAUCAAAUCGUACCCCAAACCGACACAGGUGGUCAGGUAGAGAAUACCAAGGCGCUUGAGAGAACUCGGGUGAAGGAACUAGGCAAAAUGGUGCCGUAACUUCGGGAGAAGGCACGCUGACACGUAGGUGAAGUGAUUUACUCACGGAGCUGAAGUCAGUCGAAGAUACCAGCUGGCUGCAACUGUUUAUUAAAAACACAGCACUGUGCAAACACGAAAGUGGACGUAUACGGUGUGACGCCUGCCCGGUGCCGGAAGGUUAAUUGAUGGGGUCAGCGCAAGCGAAGCUCCUGAUCGAAGCCCCGGUAAACGGCGGCCGUAACUAUAACGGUCCUAAGGUAGCGAAAUUCCUUGUCGGGUAAGUUCCGACCUGCACGAAUGGCGUAAUGAUGGCCAGGCUGUCUCCACCCGAGACUCAGUGAAAUUGAACUCGCUGUGAAGAUGCAGUGUACCCGCGGCAAGACGGAAAGACCCCGUGAACCUUUACUAUAGCUUGACACUGAACAUUGAGCCUUGAUGUGUAGGAUAGGUGGGAGGCUUUGAAGUGUGGACGCCAGUCUGCAUGGAGCCGACCUUGAAAUACCACCCUUUAAUGUUU
Molecule: ribosomal RNA, 2098 nt
Filed under: Salmonella enterica subsp. enterica serovar Kentucky
Lineage: Bacteria; Pseudomonadati; Pseudomonadota; Gammaproteobacteria; Enterobacterales; Enterobacteriaceae
Description: partial 23S ribosomal RNA
Rfam family: Bacterial large subunit ribosomal RNA
Source: RNAcentral